This is a non-coding RNA of Carica papaya (papaya), 471 nucleotides long. NCBI's taxonomy places the organism in Eukaryota, Viridiplantae, Streptophyta, Magnoliopsida, Brassicales, Caricaceae. The record is from RefSeq and is a predicted model, not a curated record.
UCAGGGCUAUGCACUUCUCUGUGUGGGCUUCCCAUCCUCUGAUGUUGAAGUAGAAACACAAGACGAGGAUGAGGUAUAUUGGCUUCAAUUUGGAAGAUAUUUUGCACGUGGUCCAAUUGAAAGGGACGAUUAUGCGUUGGAGUUGGCUAUGGGUGACGAAUAAGGUUAAGCAGAAUUUUGAAUUCAAAAUGAGUUAUCUCUAGCACCAAGGCUGCUUCUUCCAUAUCCUAUAUCUCUCUCCAUCUUGGUGACAUCAAUCUCUUCAGAUGCAUUUUUGCCAUUUAUGUAUAAUUGCUAGUAAUUAUUUGUGCUAUAUAUGUGCUCUGUAUUUUAUAUCUCUUCUGUUCAUAUCUGUUGUGAGUCGUGCUGUGUAUUUUACCUCAAAAAUGUUGACCCAUCACUAUGCACAUUUUAAGGAAAAUCUAUCAUGACUUGAGUUGAUAUAUCAACCUAAGUUGUCAUAAUUUCUAA